CGGCAUGCUUAACACAUGCAAGUCGAACGGUAACAGGCUAAGCUUGCUUAGUGCUGACGAGUGGCGGACGGGUGAGUAACGCGUGGGAACAUGCCUAUUAGUUGGGGACAACCUGUGGAAACGCAGGCUAAUACCGAAUACGUUUUCAGGAAUAAAGGUGGCCUCUACUUGUAUGCUAUCGCUAAUAGAUUGGCCCGCGUUGGAUUAGCUUGUUGGUGGGGUAAAGGCCUACCAAGGCGACGAUCCAUAGCUGGUUUGAGAGGAUGAUCAGCCACACUGGGACUGAGACACGGCCCAGACUCCUACGGGAGGCAGCAGUGGGGAAUAUUGGACAAUGGGCGCAAGCCUGAUCCAGCAAUGCCGCGUGUGUGAAGAAGGCCUGAGGGUUGUAAAGCACUUUCAAUUGUGAAGAAGGGUUUAGGUUUAAUAUGCCUGAACAUUGACGUUAACAAUAGAAGAAGCACCGGCUAACUCUGUGCCAGCAGCCGCGGUAAUACAGAGGGUGCAAGCGUUAAUCGGAAUUACUGGGCGUAAAGCGCGCGUAGGUGGUUUGAUAAGUUGGAUGUGAAAUCCCCGGGCUUAACCUGGGUCGGUCAUUCAAAACUGUCAGACUAGAGUAUGGUAGAGGGUAGUGGAAUUUCUAGUGUAGCGGUGAAAUGCGUAGAUAUUAGAAGGAACACCAGUGGCGAAGGCGACUGCCUGGACUGAUACUGACACUGAGGUGCGAAAGCGUGGGUAGCGAACAGGAUUAGAUACCCUGGUAGUCCACGCCGUAAACGAUGACAACUAGACGUUGGUUC
RNAcentral lists this ribosomal RNA (800 nucleotides) under uncultured bacterium. RNAcentral describes it as "bacterial SSU rRNA". It matches the Rfam family "Bacterial small subunit ribosomal RNA", at positions 40 to 829 of the family's 1533-position model. The record is from RNAcentral.